AGGGCUUAGCCCACCUGUGAAC
Molecule: microRNA, 22 nt
Filed under: Anolis carolinensis (green anole)
Lineage: Eukaryota; Metazoa; Chordata; Lepidosauria; Squamata; Anolidae
Description: aca-miR-27a-5p
Gene: aca-miR-27a-5p
Source: miRBase by way of RNAcentral